This 253-nucleotide ribosomal RNA is filed under the name uncultured bacterium. RNAcentral describes it as "partial 16S ribosomal RNA". It matches the Rfam family "Bacterial small subunit ribosomal RNA", at positions 524 to 776 of the family's 1533-position model. The record is from RNAcentral.
UACGUGGGGUGCGAGCGUUAAUCGGAAUUACUGGGCGUAAAGCGUGCGCAGGCGGUUCGUUAAGUCAGAUGUGAAAGCCCCGGGCUCAACCUGGGAACUGCAUUUGAAACUGGCGGGCUUGAGUGCGGCAGAGGGGGGUGGAAUUCCGCGUGUAGCAGUGAAAUGCGUAGAGAUGCGGAGGAACACCGAUGGCGAAGGCAGUCCCCUGGGCCUGUACUGACGCUCAUGCACGAAAGCGUGGGGAGCAAACAGG